Molecule: ribosomal RNA, 460 nt
Filed under: uncultured bacterium
Lineage: Bacteria
Description: partial 16S ribosomal RNA
Rfam family: Bacterial small subunit ribosomal RNA
Source: RNAcentral
CCUACGGGAGGCAGCAGUGAGGAAUAUUGGUCAAUGGACGAGCGUCUUAACCAGCCAAGUAGCGUGAAGGAUGCCUGCCCUAUGGGUUGUAAACUUCUUUUAUCUGGGAAUAAAAUGUUCCACGUGUGGGGUUUUGUAUGUACCAUAUGAAUAAGGAUCGGCUAACUCCGUGCCAGCAGCCGCGGUAAUACGGGGGAUACGAGCGUUAUCCGGAUUUAUUGGGUUUAAAGGGAGCGUAGGUGGAUUGUUAAGUCGGUUGUGAAAAUUUGCGGCUCAACCGUAAAAUUGCAGUUGAAACUGGCAGUCGUGAGUACAGUAGAGGUGGGCGGAAUUCGUGGUGUAGCGGUGAAAUGCUUAGAUAUCACGAAGAACUCCGAUUGCGAAGGCAGCUCACUGGACUGCAACUGACACUGAGGCUCGAAAGUGUGGGUAUCAAACAGGAUUAGAUACCCAAGUAGUC